Molecule: long non-coding RNA, 1709 nt
Filed under: Homo sapiens (human)
Lineage: Eukaryota; Metazoa; Chordata; Mammalia; Primates; Hominidae
Description: HSALNT0094215
Source: RNAcentral
UUAACCCCCAUCUUCUGACCCCCAUACCAAAGCCUUCCUGAAGGGCUCACAGAGCCCAAGAGAGGUACGUUGUUGCCACUCUUCCUCUUUUUAAGAGACAGAAUCUUGCUCUGUUGUCCAGGCUGGAAUGCAGUGGUGCAGUCUGAGCUCACUGCAGCCUCAAACUCCUGGGCCCAAGUGAUCCUGCCACCUAAGCCUCCCAAGUAGCUAGGACUACAGGCACAAGCCACCAUGCCCAGCUAAUUUUUAAAAUUUUUUAUAGAGACGUGAUCUUGCUGUGUUGCUCAGGCUGAUCUCAAACUCCUGGCAUCAAGUGAUCCUCCUGCUUUGGCCUCCCAAAGUGCUAGGAUUAUAGUUACAAGCCUCUGUACCUAGCGAGAGAUACUUUUCUGAUGGGUCUGCCAGGAAGCAAGGGUGGAGAAGGGAAGCAUUGCCUCAAACAACAAUAUAGAGCAGAGGUGUUCAAUCUUUUGGUUUCCCUGGGCCACAUUGGAAGAAGAAUUGUCUUAGGCUACACAUAAAACACUAACAAUGGCUGAUGAGCUUAAAAAAAUUACAAAAAAACUCAUUUUAAGAAAGUUUACAAAUUUGUGUUCGGCCGCAUUCAAAGCCAUUCUAGGCCACAUGCAGCCCAUGGGCCAUGGGUUGGACAAGCUUGAUAGAGAAGCAGAGUCUCAGAAAAUGAGUCAUGACUGAGGUAGAAGAUCAAGGAAUUAAAUUCUAGUGCUCACCCUAAGGAAAAAUGAAUACUUAUCAACUGGAGAAACUUUUUUUUAAGGCUUCAUUCUAAAGAGCAUGGAAAAUAAAACCUCACUCUCCCCUGUCCCAAAAUAAGUAUUUGUGGUAGAUAAUGUAUACUAUUUUAGGGACUUUACAAACUUUAUAAACUACAAGGCUGAGAGCUAAGAAGCCCAAUUGGCUCUGCAACUCUUUUACUUAACAUAAUUAUAAUGAACGUUGAGUCAAAGGCAAUUUAGUACAGUGUGUACUGCACUUGGUAUAUUUCUAAACAUGGGAAUUAAGGCCAAGGAGGGAAGGCCAUUACUUGGCCCGAAUAUUGAAAACUUUCUUUGUAAUUGCACUCUGCUGUAGGUCAUCAUUUUUUAGUUUAAAAACUGUUUCAACCAUAUUUUCAUGCUUCAGUAGGACUAUGAUAAAUAUCAUUGUAUGUAUUAACAGUGUCUGUCAACACGAAAAGGAAGAAUGGAUCCAAAACUCUCCAUCUAGCUCUUAAUUCAAUCAAACUGAAAUUGCUCCAUUUAAAAAAUAAAUGUGUUUUCUUUUAGUUCUUACUUAUAGCAGAUAGUGAUGGGAGACAGUAGGCAGUACCAAUAGUACCUGUUUUUUGGUUGCCAGAUCUCCUGUGAUGGGCAGGGCUCACAACCAGAAUGCCAAUCUUCUUGUGGUUCACCAAAAGAAGGAGUGUCAGUGAUGGAGGUGGAAGCCUGUACUCCAUUUCAUAAUAAUCUGUGGUUGAGAGAGAUUAGGAAAUUCCUCAUUCAUUAGAAGCCUCACCUAUUACAACUAAUAACAUUUUGUAAUGAUUCCAUGCCCGUUUGAGAACUAGAAAUCCUGUUUAUGAUUAUUGAUUAUUGCAUAUGAAGAUUAUAACACAAAGAAAUGAUACAUGUUGGAUGUCAUAUUCUAAAUACCCUGAUUUGAUCAUUACACAUUGUAUGCAUAUAUUGAAAUAUCAUAUCUACCCCAUG